CAAUGACAUUGUAAUGGUUUGCCAUUUCCUUCUCCAGCUCAUUCUACAGAGAAGGAAACUGAGGCAAAAAGGGUACAGUGACUUGCCCAGGGUCAUACAACUAAAGUCUGAGUCUGGAUUUGAACUCAAGAAGUGUAACUCUGGCUUAAUAUAUAUUACAAGAAAAUGCGAAUACAUCUGAAAACCCAGAAGAGAAGCUGAAGAAUUGAAUGUUGUUAUUGGUUAUUUUUUUAAAUCACCAAUUAGAAGAAGGCAUCAGGGGCAAGGUAACCCCAGUUCAGGGAAAAAAAAGAUGAUAAUUAUGAGAAAAGGGGUAAUGAGACCACAACUGGUCCUUUCCAAAAUUGGCAAGACGAAUACCUUUCUGAGUUAGACAGUAUACUUAAAGAAAAGAACACAGCUGGAAGCAGUAAAUAAAUUAUUGAUUAGGAGAGAUUGUGUGGUGUAU
RNAcentral lists this long non-coding RNA (448 nucleotides) under Monodelphis domestica (gray short-tailed opossum). Its description in RNAcentral is "lncRNA (ENSMODG00000033400.2)". Lineage: Eukaryota; Metazoa; Chordata; Mammalia; Didelphimorphia; Didelphidae. The record is from RNAcentral.